RNAcentral lists this ribosomal RNA (253 nucleotides) under uncultured bacterium. Its description in RNAcentral is "partial 16S ribosomal RNA". It matches the Rfam family "Bacterial small subunit ribosomal RNA", at positions 524 to 776 of the family's 1533-position model. The record is from RNAcentral.
UACGUAGGGUGCGAGCGUUGUCCGGAAUUAGUGGGCGUAAAGAGCUCGUAGGCGGUCUGUCGCGUCUGCUGUGAAAACUCAGGGCUUAACCCUGAGCUUGCAGUGGGUACGGGCAGACUAGAGUGCGGUAGGGGAGACUGGAAUUCCUGGUGUAGCGGUGAAAUGCGCAGAUAUCAGGAGGAACACCAACGGCGAAGGCAGCACUCUGGGCCGGUACUGACGCUGAGGAGCGAAAGCGUGGGGAGCAAACAGG